AGAGUUAGAUCCUGGCUCAGGACGAACGCUGGCGGCGUGCCUAACACAUGCAAGUCGAGCGAUGAAGUUCCUUCGGGAAAUGGAUUAGCGGCGGACGGGUGAGUAACACGUGGGUAACCUGCCUUAUAGUGGGGGAUAGCCUUUCGAAAGGAAGAUUAAUACCGCAUAAGAUUGUAGUAUCGCAUGAUAUAGCAAUUAAAGGAGCAAUCCGCUAUAAGAUGGACCCGCGUCGCAUUAGCUAGUUGGUGAGGUAAUGGCUCACCAAGGCGACGAUGCGUAGCCGACCUGAGAGGGUGAUCGGCCACAUUGGGACUGAGACACGGCCCAGACUCCUACGGGAGGCAGCAGUGGGGAAUAUUGCACAAUGGGGGAAACCCUGAUGCAGCAACGCCGCGUGAGUGAUGAAGGUUUUCGGAUCGUAAAGCUCUGUCUUUGGGGAAGAUAAUGACGGUACCCAAGGAGGAAGCCACGGCUAACUACGUGCCAGCAGCCGCGGUAAUACGUAGGUGGCGAGCGUUAUCCGGAUUUACUGGGCGUAAAGGGAGCGUAGGCGGAUGAUUAAGUGGGAUGUGAAAUACCCGGGCUCAACUUGGGUGCUGCAUUCCAAACUGGUUAUCUAGAGUGCAGGAGAGGAGAGGAGAAUUCCUAGUGUAGCGGUGAAAUGGCGUAGAGAUUAGGACGAUACCAGU
RNAcentral lists this ribosomal RNA (689 nucleotides) under uncultured bacterium. RNAcentral's name for it is "bacterial SSU rRNA". It matches the Rfam family "Bacterial small subunit ribosomal RNA", at positions 8 to 713 of the family's 1533-position model. The record is from RNAcentral.